ACGGAAGUAGGCAGAGCGAGUCGACGUCUCAGUGUAGUUCACUUCAACAUGGCUUUCUCUCAGAGUCUUACUGAAAUGCCCUAAGCUGUAGUGAGCCUUUACUGUGCACUUUAUUCAUCUGGGACCAGACAGAAGAUAGCAUGGAGAUAAAUGAGCUGCUGGUGGAAAAGAAAGAGAGAGAGAGAGAGAGAGAGAGAGAGAGAAACAGAAGAAACUUUGGUGGAAUAUUUAUGCUGACUUUAUCUCAGUCUGUGUGGCAGCCCUUGAAAGUGGAAAAUUAAUGACCUUAAUUCCCAAACUGUUUUGCGGUGAAUGGUGCUCCCCUCCUCGCUCCCAGUGCUCUCUCCUUUGUGUGGUUCCGCCACCAUGCCAACUCCUGGAACUGGAAGAAAAGGAGGACUUAGGGGUGGGAAGGAGGCACAGAUUCUCCUCCUAACGUGACAGCUUCAGACUAACAAUAGCCAAAGAUGAAAGACUGGAGCAGAUGUAGUCACUGGGAGCAUUGCAUCAUGGGACCACAACUCCACUGCACUUUUUUUUUGUCUGUCAUCUUUCCUGAGCACUAAUUUGUCCCAUGAAAAACAGGGGGUCCUGUUGGGACACAGAUAAAAGGCAGUCGAUGAAAGAGAAAUGAGCUUUUAAGAUUUCAGUUUGGAUGCCAGAUUGUGCAUUUAAACCUCCAGAGGCAUAUUGUUUAUUUAUUCAUAAUGAUAGAACACUGUAAGUUCCACUGGAAAUAAAAUAAAAUGAAAUGAAAUAAUAAAUUAAAUAAAAUAAAA
Molecule: long non-coding RNA, 779 nt
Organism: Tachysurus fulvidraco (yellow catfish)
Lineage: Eukaryota; Metazoa; Chordata; Actinopteri; Siluriformes; Bagridae
Exons: 2
Source: RefSeq, a predicted model, not a curated record